This 1352-nucleotide ribosomal RNA is filed under the name uncultured bacterium. RNAcentral describes it as "bacterial SSU rRNA". It matches the Rfam family "Bacterial small subunit ribosomal RNA", at positions 28 to 1363 of the family's 1533-position model. The record is from RNAcentral.
GAUGAACGCUAGCGACAGGCUUAACACAUGCAAGUCGAGGGGCAGCGGAGGUGAGUGCUUGCACUUGCCAGACGGCGACCGGCGCACGGGUGAGUAACACGUAUGCGACCUGCCCGUAGCAGGGGAAUAAGCGGAAGAAAUUCCGUCUAAUACCGCGUAAUAUCUUUCGGGGGCAUUCCUGAGGGAUUAAAGGAAGUGAUUCCGGCUACGGAUGGGCAUGCGGCGCAUUAGCUAGUCGGCGGGGUAACGGCCCACCGAGGCGACGAUGCGUAGGGGUUCUGAGAGGAAGGUCCCCCACACUGGUACUGAGACACGGACCAGACUCCUACGGGAGGCAGCAGUGAGGAAUAUUGGUCAAUGGGCGAGAGCCUGAACCAGCCAAGUCGCGUGAGGGAAGACGGUCCUAUGGAUUGUAAACCUCUUUUGUCGGGGAGCAAAAAGGCCUCGUGAGGCCACAAGCGAGAGUACCCGAAGAAAAAGCAUCGGCUAACUCCGUGCCAGCAGCCGCGGUAAUACGGAGGAUGCGAGCGUUAUCCGGAUUUAUUGGGUUUAAAGGGUGCGUAGGCGGACUGGAAAGUCAGCGGUAAAAUCGAGAGGCUCAACCUCUUUCCGCCGUUGAAACUGUCGGUCUUGAGUGGGCGAGAAGUAUGCGGAAUGCGUGGUGUAGCGGUGAAAUGCAUAGAUAUCUCGCAGAACUCCGAUUGCGAAGGCAGCAUACCGGCGCCCGACUGACGCUGAGGCACGAAAGCGUGGGUAUCGAACAGGAUUAGAUACCCUGGUAGUCCACGCAGUAAACGAUGAAUACUAAUUGUCCGGUCAGAAAGAUGACUGGGUGAUACAGCGAAAGCGUUAAGUAUUCCACCUGGGGAGUACGCCGGCAACGGUGAAACUCAAAGGAAUUGACGGGGGCCCGCACAAGCGGAGGAACAUGUGGUUUAAUUCGAUGAUACGCGAGGAACCUUACCCGGGCUCAAACGUAGAGAGACAGACGGUGAAAGCCGUUCUCCCUUCGGGGCAGUCUACGAGGUGCUGCAUGGUUGUCGUCAGCUCGUGCCGUGAGGUGUCGGCUUAAGUGCCAUAACGAGCGCAACCCCCAUCUACAGUUGCUAACAGGUUAAGCUGAGGACUCUGUGGAGACUGCCGGCGCAAGCUGUGAGGAAGGCGGGGAUGACGUCAAAUCAGCACGGCCCUUACGUCCGGGGCGACACACGUGUUACAAUGGCAGGUACAGCGGGAAGCCAUAUGGCGACAUAGAGCGGAACCCGAAAACCUGUCUCAGUUCGGAUUGGAGUCUGCAACUCGACUCCAUGAAGCUGGAUUCGCUAGUAAUCGCGCAUCAGCCACGGCGCGGU